AGCGCAGGCGGUUUGAUAAGUCUGAAGUUAAAGGCUGUGGCUCAACCAUAGUUCGCUUUGGAAACCGUCAAACUUGAGUGCAGAAGGGGAGAGUGGAAUUCCAUGUGUAGCGGUGAAAUGCGUAGAUAUAUGGAGGAACACCGGUGGCGAAAGCGGCUCUCUGGCCUGUAACUGACACUGAGGCUCGAAAGCGUGGGGAGCAAACA
This 206-nucleotide ribosomal RNA is filed under the name uncultured bacterium. Its description in RNAcentral is "partial 16S ribosomal RNA". It matches the Rfam family "Bacterial small subunit ribosomal RNA", at positions 568 to 774 of the family's 1533-position model. The record is from RNAcentral.